GUCUGGUGGAAGGUAGGGAGUUAUCUCACUGGAUUUUUCACAGUUACAGAUUGAACUCCUUGUUCUAAUCUUUCCCCCUUCUCAUUGCUGCACUUAACUAGUCUUUU
Unclassified non-coding RNA from Otolemur garnettii (small-eared galago), 107 nucleotides. It matches the Rfam family "Y RNA". From Rfam's summary of the family: Y RNAs are components of the Ro ribonucleoprotein particle (Ro RNP), in association with Ro60 and La proteins. The Y RNAs and Ro60 and La proteins are well conserved, but the function of the Ro RNP is not known. NCBI's taxonomy places the organism in Eukaryota, Metazoa, Chordata, Mammalia, Primates, Galagidae. The record is from Ensembl.